This 253-nucleotide ribosomal RNA is filed under the name uncultured bacterium. RNAcentral's name for it is "partial 16S ribosomal RNA". It matches the Rfam family "Bacterial small subunit ribosomal RNA", at positions 524 to 776 of the family's 1533-position model. The record is from RNAcentral.
UACGGGGGGGGCAAGCGUUGUUCGGAAUUACUGGGCGUAAAGGGCGCGUAGGCGGCCUGCUAAGUCGGACGUGAAAUCCCCCGGCUCAACCGGGGAACUGCGUCCGAUACUGGUGGGCUCGAAUCCGGGAGAGGGAUGUGGAAUUCCAGGUGUAGCGGUGAAAUGCGUAGAUAUUUGGAGGAACACCGGUGGCGAAGGCGGCAUCCUGGACCGGCAUUGACGCUGAGGCGCGAAAGCCAGGGGAGCAAACGGG